UACGUAGGGUGCAAGCGUUGUCCGGAAUCAUUGGGCGGAAAGAGCGUGUAGGCGGCCAGAAAAGUCCGCUGUGAAAACUCGAGGCUCAACUUCGAGCUGUCGGUGGAAACUUUCUGGCUAGAGUCCGGAAGAGGAGAAUGGAAUUCCUGGUGUAGCGGUGAAAUGCGCAGAUAUCAGGAAGAACACCCGUGGCGAAGGCGGUUCUCUGGGACGGUACUGACGCUGAGACGCGAAAGCGUGGGGAGCGAACAGG
This 253-nucleotide ribosomal RNA is filed under the name uncultured bacterium. RNAcentral's name for it is "partial 16S ribosomal RNA". It matches the Rfam family "Bacterial small subunit ribosomal RNA", at positions 524 to 776 of the family's 1533-position model. The record is from RNAcentral.